RNAcentral lists this ribosomal RNA (497 nucleotides) under uncultured bacterium. RNAcentral's name for it is "partial 16S ribosomal RNA". It matches the Rfam family "Bacterial small subunit ribosomal RNA", at positions 28 to 507 of the family's 1533-position model. The record is from RNAcentral.
GAUGAACGCUGGCGGCGUGCCUAAUACAUGCAAGUCGAGCGAACAGACGAGGAGCUUGCUCCUCUGACGUUAGCGGCGGACGGGUGAGUAACACGUGGAUAACCUACCUAUAAGACUGGGAUAACUUCGGGAAACCGGAGCUAAUACCGGAUAAUAUAUUGAACCGCAUGGUUCAAUAGUGAAAGACGGUUUUGCUGUCACUUAUAGAUGGAUCCGCGCCGCAUUAGCUAGUUGGUAAGGUAACGGCUUACCAAGGCAACGAUGCGUAGCCGACCUGAGAGGGUGAUCGGCGACACUGGAACUGAGACACGGUCCAGACUCCUACGGGAGGCAGCAGUAGGGAAUCUUCCGCAAAGGGCGAAAGCUUGACGGAGCAACGCCGCGUGAGUGAUGAAGGUCUUCGGAUCGUAAAACUCUGUUAUUAGGGAAGAACAAAUGUGUAAGUAACUAUGCACGUCUUGACGGUACCUAAUCAGAAAGCCACGGCUAACUACGUG